Molecule: RNA transcript, 5241 nt
Organism: Ahaetulla prasina
Lineage: Eukaryota; Metazoa; Chordata; Lepidosauria; Squamata; Colubridae
Gene: ESAM
Gene name: endothelial cell adhesion molecule
Exons: 8
Source: RefSeq, a predicted model, not a curated record
CCCCCUUCCUUCGCGCUCGCGGGCUCCGGCAGCUGCACCUGCUACUCUGGGUUUCUCCUCCGGGCGAGCGGGACUAGCGCUGCGCCUCGGGUCUUCCUCCGGGGGAGCCGGCGCAAUGGAGCCGUUGGCGUUGGCGCUCGGGAUAGCGGCUCUGCUGGGACUGUCUUCUGCUGUCUUGGAAGUGGAAGUUGGACAAACUUCAGUGACCGUGAUCCAAGGACAGCAGGCCAUACUUCCCGUCUGGUAUACGUCCACCAGUGUCAGUGUUCCCUUUGUCACCUGGCACAGGGAAAGACCUGGGGAGCGUUUUCAGAUCCUGGCCUUUAUGUAUGAGACCACCAAAGUGGAAGACCCCGAUCUCAAGCAGCGACUUGGAUUUUUGUUCCGUAUGCCUUUUCACAAUGUCUCCCUUGUAAUUAACAAUACCAAAGAAAUGGAUUCCGGCCAAUAUAUGUGUACCGUGAAUGUUCCAGAUGACAGUACGGUGAAUGGAAGAAACAUCGGACUUGUCAACCUCACCGUUCUAGUCCCACCGUCUCCACCAAAGUGUCAGAUUCAAGGCAGUGCAGAGGUUGGAGGCAACAUUACCAUGUCCUGCAAAUCUGCUUUUGGAAAACCGGUCCCAGUUUACCGUUGGCAGCGGACUGAGCCCAGUUACCAGUUUUUCUUUGCACCUGCACAAGAUACAAAGAAGGGGAUACUGACGUUGACCAAUCUUACUGUCGAGAUGUCUGGGGUGUAUCUCUGCAACGCCUCCAGCAUAGCUGGCCAUUCCAACUGCACCCUCAAUCUGGAAGUACAUCCACCAUCCAAUACAGCAGUGGUGGCUGGUGCAGUCGUGGGGACCCUCAUUGGACUUGGCCUGAUCAUAUUUUUUACACUUCAGUUGUUUAUCUACCGAAAGAAAAAGAAGGAAGCCCAAGAGGAUAUAGCCAAUGAAAUCAAGGAAGAUGCUGUAGCUCCCAAGACGCUCUCCUGGGUGAAAAAUUCCUGCUCGGAUGGACUCUCCAAAAAUGGAACGUUGUCAUCCAUGAACACAACCCGGGAUCACAAAUCCUAUCCCAUCCGGCCCCCCUCGGACACGGCCUCCAUCACCACUGCUGCAGGAAGCAUGGUGGGCUUCAAGGCCCCUUUCACUGACCCCAGAAAUGGGACCCUCACACCGACACCCAGCCUUUCCAGCCAAUCGCUGCCCCUCUAUUUUCCACCAGUGAUCAACGGGGUCCAGUGCCAUCAUGCCAAUGUGCCCAUCCACAGGAAUAACCUCCACCGGACAAACAGGGCUCAGCCACAGGCCCCUCAGCAACAGGAGCCCCCUGUCCCCACUGCUCAAGGCUUAACUGCUUCCACUCUGAAUCGCAUGGGAGCAGUACCUGUCAUGGUUCCUGCUCAAAGCCAGGCAGGAUCUUUGGUGUAAAUGUGCUGUAACUCCAUAGCUCUCUGUGCGGCUAUCGGUUUGACUCAUCGCAAGCACUGUCAAGAGACAGGUGCGAAUUGUGCUGCUUCGCCAGCCUGUCUGCGGAGGUCCAGGGUCUGUGUGUGUGUUGGGGUUCUUGGAUUUGUUCUUCAAGUGACCAAAUGUCAAGACUUUGCCAUAAGUGAGACCUUAUCGGGACUUCUGAAAAGGACUUUUAAAAAAAAUUUUGGUAACCAGAAGAAUUUCUGUUUAUCUGUCCAGUCUUAUUCUUCCUAGUGCACCAGCCCCAUUCCAUCUCCUCUGGGAAUCUACCUAACAGAGACAAGGUUUAACUGGAUAAAAAUAUGUUUGUUCUCUAACAUGACUCUUAACGUUGAGGAAGAGAAGCAAGCUGUGGUUUACUGCAGAGAUGGGUUUCAGCAGAUUCUGACCAGUUCUGGAGAACCGGUAGCGGAAAUUUUGAAUAGUUCGGAGAACCAGUAGUAAAAAUUCUGACUGGCCCCACCCCCAUCUAUUCUCUGCCUCCCAAGUCCCAGCUAUUCGGGAGGAAAUGGGGAUUUUGCAGUAACCUUCCCAUGGAGUGGGGAGGGAAUGGAGAUUUUACAGUAUCAUUCCCCUGCCACGCCCACCAAGCCACACCCGCAGAACCGGUAGUAAAAAAAAUUGAAACCCACCACUUGGCUUAGAAUAAGAGAAGGAAAUAGAUCUGAAGUCUGUAUGCAAACUGCCUUCCCACCUACUUUUCAAGAAGUAGCUCACACAAAGGGAAACUGUUCAGACACUUAGGAAGGGAAGGUAAAGAUAAUUGAAACCUACCUGAUUUCAUGACAAAGGUCUACACAUUAGAUAAAUCUGCACAAAUCACAAUUUUUUUUUUGUUUUUUUUUGUUUACAUUUAUACCCCGCCCUUCUCCGAAGACUCAGGGCGGCUUACAAUGUAUAGGGCAAUAGUCUCAUUCUAUUUGUAUAUAUUUACAAAGUCAACUUAUUGCCCCCCCAACAAUCUGGGUCCUCAUUUUACCUACCUUAUAAAGGAUGGAAGGCUGAGUCAACCUUGGGCCGGGCUCGAACCUGCAGUAAUUGCAGGCUUUGUGUUCUUAAUAACAGGCCUUACCAGGCAGAGCUAAACCGGCCCUAUGAUUGAGUUAGAAUCUCCGCUGCCAUCUUCUACCCGCUCCUUGUAGACAAUGUUUUUCAGCAAUAGGUAGAGUUGCAGCCAAAGUGGAGGUGUGACUUCCUUUCUUGUUAUUCCUGUCUCCUUCUUCCAUCUCCCCAAAAGAAACUAAAGGACAGUUCAGUCUCACUGUUGGUUGGGCUGAUGGCCUACAAGCAGUUCUUGGUGUCACUUCAAAGGUAAUUAAUUCAUAAACCCUUCAGCUGCCUCUUGAGAACACCUGAUUUUAGAUCACCACUGAUUUUAGAAGUGUGCAACUUUUUGAAGACACAAACUUCCAUAUGUAUGAAGAAGCCACCAUAUAUUACAUUUGAAGAAAAGACCAUUUUAAUGGAAUUAAUGGGGAAUAUCAAUGGUGUGAGGAAUGAAUUAAUGCAAUUAUUCCAGAUUUCUGUAAUAAUCCUUAAAAUGACAACUUUAAAAUUCGUCACUUAUGAAGGCCCAUCCAAGUCUUUGGAGAUUCACCUGCACUUGUUGGGCACUAAAUUAGGUAGUAUCAAUGCCUCCUGAAAUAAGUUUGGUACAAAAUAAAUGCAGCCUUAUUCAAGAGGUUAUCUUUCACAAUGGAUACAACUAGCUGUGUAAUAUCCUUUUUCCUGAAAUGGUAUCCUAGAUUAUUUAAUUUGGCAGCCUUAUGGACAAGAUGAAUUUAGCUCAGGAUGGAACUAUUUGGAGAGAUAAGUGCCAUGAAGUUGCCAAGGCUGUAUCAUAAAUGCAAAAAGAGAUCAAAGUAUUGGUGUUCCCCUGAAGAUGCUUGGAAAUGGUUUUUGAUAGGAAUAAGAUAAAUGGAAUAUAUGAAACAGACAAUAAUUUGGCAGGUGCUCCGGUUUUUACACUUGGUGGUUUUGAAACUGAAAAGUGGAUGCCACCUUUAAAAUGUAUAAAUCUAAAUAGUAGCUUUGCAACAGAAAUUCAUUUUUAUAGAGCCAUAAAGUGCUUCCCUAAGGUAACGUUUCUUAUUAAUCCAAGGUAAUCGUAUAAUUCAGCAUUGUCAGAUGGCACAGUCUUUAUGAAGCUGGUGACACACAGAUCUGUAGAGGUUGGAGACCCCUGAUGUAGAAUAUGCUUUUCAGGAAGUGCUCACAAACCUAAGGAAGGCUAGAAGGCAAGGCAAGUUGAGAAAGGAUUCUGCUGAUUUUAUGUACAGGCAGUCCUUGACUUAUGACCAUAGUUGGGACUGGAACAUGUGCUGCUAAGUGAGGAAUUGUUAAGUGAAUUUCACCCAAUUUAAUGACCUUUUUUUGCCAUGGUUGUUAAGGAGAAUCACUAUGAUUAUUAAGUAAAUCAUGCAAUUGUUAAGUGAAUCUAGUUUCCCCCACUGACUUUACUUGUUGGAAGGCACCUGGGAAAUGCAGAUCACAUGAUCCUGAGAUUCGGCAACUGUCAUAAAUAUAUGCCGGUUGCCAACCACCCCAGUUUUGAUCACAUGAUCAUGGGGAUGCUGCAAUGGUUGUGUCAGAACCAAUUGGAAGUCACUUUUUUCAGUGCCAUUGUAACCUUGAAUAGUCACCCAAAAAGGUUGAAAAUCAACCGUCAUCCAUGUAGCUUUAUUACCAGCAAUACAAGAUUGAGUUAGAAUUGUUUUCGUCUAGGAUGAUAGUUGGUCUAGGACAGGGGUCUGCAAACUUGGCUCUUUUAAGACUUGUGGGCUUCAACUCCCAGAGUUCCUCAGCCAGCUUUAAAGUCUACAAGUCUUAAAAGAGCCAAGUUUGCAGACCCCUGGGCUCGGAUAUAGCUGUGGUUUUCUCUGCAAGUCUACCUUGUAUUCUCUGGAGGUGUCCCUCACCCAAAGAAAGCCAGCCAGUUGCUCUAAAUCAGAGUGUCCAACCUUGGAGAAUUCCCCAGCCAGCCAUUAAAGUUACCAAGGUUGGACAUCCCUGCUCUAAAUGAGUCAGGCUGUUCUCUUCUAGGCAAAAUAGCUACCCGUUUUGGCUCCAAAACCUAUUAGCUUUUUUAAAAAAAGAGUCUUAGAAUAAAUGGAACCCCUUUUAUGACUGUGGUUAGGACCUUCACACCUGCAGGGUUGAUUCUAGAAAAUAUACUUUUAUUCCAAUUUGUGUCCUCCUGUUCCUUAGUGAAUCACAUAGGAACUCUACUGGGAUAUUCUGUAUUAGUGUUUUUGAAAGUUGGCAACUUUAAAAUGUGUGAACUUCAACUCUCAGAAUCGUCAGCAUGUCAGUUCAAAAACGCGUCUCUAUCUGCUUCUCUUGCGGUUAAGGCCAAAUACUGCCUCAGGUCUAACAAAAUAUGACAUCUUCCAUAACUCUUAAGAACAUGUCUUGUAAUAUUAUAGAGCAACUUUCUACCAGGCCUCUUAAAUGAACUGUUUAAAGGACACCUUUUGCAUCUUAAUAUAUAUUGUGCAAUUAUGUUUAUUCAAUGGACAAAUUCCUAUAUUUGUUUUUCUUUUUUCUUUUAUAAAUGUAGAUGGAGUAAAUAAUUUAUACUUCUAGAUAUUAACAGGUCUGUGAAUUUGGACUGGAGUCCUCUAACCAUUUUCAUGCUAGCUAUUUUUAUUUUUCAAUGGCAAUAAGAUCCUUCUGUUGGGUGGGAAGGUAGGGAUACACUGAAGUAUUUUUAUGUACAGUUUUGAAAUGUAUUAUUUUUCAUAAACAAUCAUUAAAAGUAUUUGUUUUUAUAUCAAGUAAAA